This is a long non-coding RNA of Cuculus canorus (common cuckoo), 1004 nucleotides long. RefSeq lists it as uncharacterized. NCBI's taxonomy places the organism in Eukaryota, Metazoa, Chordata, Aves, Cuculiformes, Cuculidae. The record is from RefSeq and is a predicted model, not a curated record. The transcript has 4 exons.
CUUUCUUGCAAAACCAGGCUGCUUUUAGACAGCUCUGCUAAAUUUCAAAACACACGGUGUUAUCUGAUUGGUUACAAACAACUGUCCCCGCGCUUAAACGUCAGAAUAACCGCUCAACAGGUCAGUUGACAAGGAGGAACCUUAUCAGAUGCUCAUAAGCUCUCUCAGCUCCUGAAACAAGAUGGCUUCAUUCAAACUGCCUUCUGAGAAUAACUCCUGGGUCUCCCUCUAUGUUGAAUUCUAUCCAGUAUAUACAUGUUUUGGGAGAUGGAGGAGCCGAUUCACUGGAAAGCAGAUCCAACUCUUGAAUUAUGUCUCUAAGGACCUCAGAUUGGUCAGUGCAUGGGAAUUCAGAGUGCUGGAAUGGUAUAAAGACUGCAUGGUGCUCUGCCAGUGUGUUGACUGAGGGGGACACAGCUGACACAUCUGACCCAAAGAAUAUUCUAUACCGUAUGACAUAGUACUCAGCAAUAAAAGCUGGAAAGAGGACAUUCGGAGUUACAAUGCUUGAAUAACCAAGUAAACAUUACAUGUGAUAAAGCUGAACACCUGUCUGUUGAUGGGAAAUAGUGAAUGAAUUCUUUAUUUUGCUUGGCUUCUCUAUGCAGAUUUUACUUUACCUAUUAAACUGUCUUUAUCUGAACUCAUGUAUUUUUGCUUUUCAAAUUCUCUCCCUCGUCCCGCUGUGGGGAAGUGAGUGAGCGGCUGUGUUGGGCUUAUUUGCCUACUGGGUUUAACUCACAAUACAUGCCUUAAGUUAUUUGAGUAAUAUUGCUUGAGUGAUAACAUAAGCAUUUGUAAGUUUGAUGUAAAUGAAAAUAAUUUGACUAUCUAUUUGGAUUAAUUCAUCAAUAAAAAUUAUGAAGCACUUAGGAAAAUGAUAGAAAUUAAUAUUUAAAAUUGGCAAGUAAAGAAUUUCAGCGGGAAAAUGUUAUGCAGAAAUUAACAAAGGAAUUAACCAAUGACAGUAAUAUAGAGGGGAAAGUUCACUUCCCUCAAUCUGC